This 497-nucleotide ribosomal RNA is filed under the name uncultured bacterium. RNAcentral's name for it is "partial 16S ribosomal RNA". It matches the Rfam family "Bacterial small subunit ribosomal RNA", at positions 28 to 507 of the family's 1533-position model. The record is from RNAcentral.
GAUGAACGCUGGCGGCGUGCCUAAUACAUGCAAGUCGAGCGAACAGACGAGGAGCUUGCUCCUCUGACGUUAGCGGCGGACGGGUGAGUAACACGUGGAUAACCUACCUAUAAGACUGGGAUAACUUCGGGAAACCGGAGCUAAUACCGGAUAAUAUAUUGAACCGCAUGGUUCAAUAGUGAAAGACGGUUUUGCUGUCACUUAUAGAUGGAUCCGCGCCGCAUUAGCUAGUUGGUAAGGUAACGGCUUACCAAGGCAACGAUGCGUAGCCGACCUGAGAGGGUGAUCGGCCACACUGGAACUGAGACACGGUCCAGACUCCUACGGGAGGCAGCAGUAGGGAAUCUUCCGCAAUGGGCGAAAGCCUGACGGAGCAACGCCGCGUGAGUGAUGAAGGUCUUCGGAUCGUAAAACUCUGUUAUUAGGGAAGAACAAAUGUGUAAGUAACUAUGCACGUCUUGACGGUACCUAAUCACAAAGCCACGGCUAACUACGUG